GAUGAACGCUGGCGGCGUGCCUAAUACAUGCAAGUCGAGCGAAUGGACGAGAAGCUUGCUUCUCUGAUGUUAGCGGCGGACGGGUGAGUAACACGUGGAUAACCUACCUAUAAGACUGGGAUAACUUCGGGAAACCGGAGCUAAUACCGGAUAAUAUUUUGAACCGCAUGGUUCAAAAGUGAAAGACGGUCUUGCUGUCACUUAUAGAUGGAUCCGCGCUGCAUUAGCUAGUUGGUAAGGUAACGGCUUACCAAGGCAACGAUGCAUAGCCGACCUGAGAGGGUGAUCGGCCACACUGGAACUGAGACACGGUCCAGACUCCUACGGGAGGCAGCAGUAGGGAAUCUUCCGCAAUGGGCGAAAGCCUGACGGAGCAACGCCGCGUGAGUGAUGAAGGUCUUCGGAUCGUAAAACUCUGUUAUUGGGGAAGAACAUAUGUGUAAGUAACUGUGCACAGCGUGACGGUACCUAAUCAGAAAGCCACGGCUAACUACGUG
RNAcentral lists this ribosomal RNA (497 nucleotides) under uncultured bacterium. Its description in RNAcentral is "partial 16S ribosomal RNA". It matches the Rfam family "Bacterial small subunit ribosomal RNA", at positions 28 to 507 of the family's 1533-position model. The record is from RNAcentral.